RNAcentral lists this long non-coding RNA (228 nucleotides) under Mytilus galloprovincialis (Mediterranean mussel). The record is from RNAcentral. Lineage: Eukaryota; Metazoa; Mollusca; Bivalvia; Mytilida; Mytilidae.
GUGAUACAUGAAUUUUAUUCCAUAAGGCAAUCCAUUAGUUUUAGUCCAAAAGGCGUUAAAUGAGUUUUAAUUCACUAGGCAUUAUGUUAGUUUUAGUCUACAAGGCGAUACACGAGUUUUAGUCCACGAGGCAAAACAUUAGUUUUAGUCCACAAGGCAAUACAUUAGUUUUAGUCCACAAGGCAAUACAUUAGUUUUAGUCCACAAGGCGAUACAUUAUUCUUUUUU